RNAcentral lists this ribosomal RNA (468 nucleotides) under uncultured bacterium. Its description in RNAcentral is "partial 16S ribosomal RNA". It matches the Rfam family "Bacterial small subunit ribosomal RNA", at positions 28 to 507 of the family's 1533-position model. The record is from RNAcentral.
GACGAACGCUGGCGGCGUGCUUAACACAUGCAAGUCGAACGGAAAGGCACUGCUUUUGUGGGGUGCCCGAGUGGCGAACGGGUGAGUAACACGUGAGUAACCUGCCCUUGACUUUGGGAUAAUUUCAGGAAACUGGGGCUAAUACCGGAUAGGAGCUCCUGCUGCAUGGUGGGGGUUGGAAAGUUUCGCAGGUCGGGGCUGGACUCGCGGCUUAUCAGCUUGUUGGUUGGGUAGUGGCUUACCAAGGCAUUGACGGGUAGCCGGCCUAGGAGGGUGACCGGGCUGAUGACGACUAAGGUGCGCGCCAGACUCCUACGUACCGCAGCACUGGACAAUAUUGCACCAUCAGCUGAAGCCUGAUGCAGCAUCGCCGCGGGCGGAGUAACAACCUUCGGGUUGUAUGCGGCUAUCGCCUAGGACGACGCGAAAGUGACGGUGAUGGGUACAGAAGGACCGGCUAAAUUCAUG